Lathyrus oleraceus (garden pea) is the source of this 453-nucleotide long non-coding RNA. RefSeq lists it as uncharacterized. The transcript is spliced from 3 exons. The record is from RefSeq and is a predicted model, not a curated record. NCBI's taxonomy places the organism in Eukaryota, Viridiplantae, Streptophyta, Magnoliopsida, Fabales, Fabaceae.
UCUUUUAUUUACCAAAAUUAUUUUGAAUUCAUAACUAACUUGAUCGUCGGAGUUUUUGCAGGUACCACACCUUUGGUGUGUCAUGCUAUGCUUAUGAGUAUGAUGAAACCGAAAGGAAAUGCAACAUCUUAAAAGCAUGGUAGGAAGUUUACCUUUGAUUUGAGCUGCUGGCCAUGCUUAACAGUUCGGUCUUCAACCGAGCUGAGUGAAUGAGAUUCAUUGACAUGGGGGGCCUUCUGAAACAUUGGAAAUGGGCAGAGGCUGAAAACUUUGGGUGCCAGGCUGUGUUUGAAGUGGGGAGUCAUGCCUCAAAUAUAAAUUCUGGUGUCCCUAGUGAAAGUUGAAGCAAAACAUUGGAAAUUUGAGUUGUUCUUCAUAAUGCCUAUUAAGCUCACGAGAUCUUGCGAAAGAAAUGGGAUAAGGAAGGUAUGUACGCUCUUGUCAUGAAUAGAU